Molecule: ribosomal RNA, 254 nt
Filed under: uncultured bacterium
Lineage: Bacteria
Description: partial 16S ribosomal RNA
Rfam family: Bacterial small subunit ribosomal RNA
Source: RNAcentral
CUUUCUUUGCUGGCGACCGGCGCACGGGUGAGUAACACGUACCCAACCUGCCCUUUACUCGGGGAUAGCCUUUCGAAAGAAAGAUUAAUACCCGAUAGCAUAAUGAUUCCGCAUGGUUUCAUUAUUAAAGGAUUCCGGUAAAGGAUGGGGAUGCGUUCCAUUAGGUUGUUGGUGAGGUAACGGCUCACCAAGCCUUCGAUGGAUAGGGGUUCUGAGAGGAAGGUCCCCCACAUUGGAACUGAGACACGGUCCAA